Molecule: ribosomal RNA, 253 nt
Filed under: uncultured microorganism
Description: partial 16S ribosomal RNA
Rfam family: Bacterial small subunit ribosomal RNA
Source: RNAcentral
UACGGAGGGGGCGAGCGUUGUUCGGAGUUACUGGGCGUAAAGCGCACGUAGGCGGUGCGGUAAGUCAGGGGUUAAAGGCUGCAGCUCAACUGCAGUAAGGCCUUUGAUACUAUCGUGCUAGAGUGUCAGAGAGGGUAGCGGAAUUCCCUGUGUAGCGGUGAAAUGCGUAGAUAUAGGGAGGAACACCGGUUGCGAAGGCGGCUACCUGGCCGGUAACUGACGCUGAGGUGCGAGAGCGUGGGGAGCAAACAGG